Molecule: non-coding RNA, 2516 nt
Organism: Phalacrocorax carbo (great cormorant)
Lineage: Eukaryota; Metazoa; Chordata; Aves; Suliformes; Phalacrocoracidae
Source: RefSeq, a predicted model, not a curated record
CCACCCCUUAUCCCCUCCCCACUACCGGCCCCCUGUGUUCCCUCCCCGGGUGCCUCCCCCGCCCCGUUACCGGCUCUCCCGACCCCCCUUUGCCGCUGUCACCGGGCUCCCGGACCCCACCUUGGGUCCCUUUUCCGGUUGCGGGACCCCGCUCCCCCCACCCCAGUCACGGUAUGUGCCUCCCCCCAAAAAACCCCCGACUCCGGUGCUGCCUCCCGGUGUGUCCCCGCUUGGGACGGGGACCGGGGUGUCCCCUUCCCAGCCGGGCGCUCCUUGUUGUGGUGGGACGGGGACGGGCCACCUCUGCUGACUCUGUCCCCCCGGGACAGAGCUGGGGUCCCCUGGCUGCGGUGUGUCGCCCCCCGGGACGGGAGCCCCCUGAGUGGACGCUUUUGGCCCCUGUGUCCCUGGGGGGGUGGUGGUUUGGGCUCUGCCCGGGGGCUCCGUGUCCCCCGGGGGCUCCGUGUCCACGGUGCGGCUGGCUCGGGGCUGGCUCGGCCGAGCCACCGGCUCCUGCCCGACCUGUUCCCGGCAGCCCGACAAGCUCGGGCAGGACCCGCCUGGCCCGGCGGUGUGCGGCACGGGGCUCGUGCCGUGGGGCACCGCGCCCUGGGCAGCGGCGGGGACACGAGCCCCCCGUGCCAUGGGUCAGGGUGGUCUACGCAGGUCAGCGGUGCCACAUGCGCUGUCCUGGUAUCCUGGUGAAGCUGUUUGUCCGCCGGCGCGUGGGACCGCUCCGUAGAUGCGGUGCCCAGCGGACACUGGGUUGGGUCACCAGUGGCCGGCUGGGCUGACGCCGUUGGUGGGCGCUUUCGGCACGCUGCCCCAGCAGGAGGGCGGGCGGGUGGGCUCCCUGGCACGGCUGCACCCGGCACACGGUGGCUCUGUGUGACUUGGCUGCUGGGGCCGAGGUGAAGCCGCAGGGCUUGGCUCUUAAACACCCGACAGGUUGGUGUCCGCCAUCGGAGGUAGCGAGAGGCCCUGUGGCUCCCCCAUGCUGGCCUUGCCAUCUCCCUGCCGCGUCCUUCCCCCGCUCCCGUCUCGCGCCACCCACCCGUUUGAUCCUCUCCCCCAGGAGCUCCGGCCCCGUGGCCUGUUUGUCCCUCGCUUCCGCCACGGGCACGGGCGCCGCGGCAGCCCCCCCUUCCCUUCCCGCCGGAGCCAGCAUCGGGGUGCUCCUCACUGCUGGGGGGCUGCGGGGCUGCCUGUGCGAUGGUUGUGGCUGCCCCAUGGCCUGGAGAGAACGUCGGGCACUGGCCGGUGGCUGCCAGCCCUGGAGAGGAGAUGGGGAAGAUCUCUGCUGCCCCGGCCUGCCUGUCCUCGCCAGCCCCUGGAGAUGCGACUGCCCUGGCAGGCAGGGCUUGCGGGCAAGUGCCGGCACUUCGCCGGGGCCAGCGGUGGAGUGCGGGAGCACCAGCCCUGUGCCGGCACCCCGGUGAGGCUGGCGGCCCCUGCCCUGUGCGCUGGGUCUGGCUACAGGGACCCAUGUUGGGCGCCUUCCUCCCGGGGUGCCGUGGGCGCACGGCACGCUCCGGCACGCUGGGGGAAGGGAGCCCUUCCGCUUCUUGGGGGAGCUGUGGGCAGAGCUGCCGGCCCCCGGACAGGCCUGGUAGCUGGCAAAGAGGAAGGCUGAUUGCAAGAGGCGACCCAUGUGCAAAUGUGGGGAAACUGCUGCGGCGUUUCCCCUCUGGGUGCUGGUGGCAGGAGGGGGCUCCGGCCCCGAGGACAGGCUGAUGCCGUCCAGGCAGUGUGGGGGGGGCUCGGCCUCGGCGAGGCUGGUGCUAACCCAGCGUUGCCUUGCAGCCGGAGCUGCCACCUCCCUGCGGCAGGUCGGGCGAGGGGUGCAGGCAGCAGCAGGGUUUCCUCUGCGGUGAACAUGUAGGCGGGGCGGCGGUGGCUGUGCCGGGGUGGCUGUGCACCGGCUGCCGGCUCACCAGAAGCAGAAGAGAUUGUUGCAGGUGCCGUUGCCCCGGUGCCAGUUUUGUGCCCACCGGCACAGGGGGCUCCAUGCUCCUGCACGUGCCGUAGCUGCACCCCCCGAAAGCAGGGAGCUGGCUCUGCUGCUGUCCCCACCAGCGGCCACGGUGCCGGGCAUCUGCUCGGUGCCAGGGGAUGCUUCUCAGCAGUGCAGCAGCUGCUGGCUGGUCCCAGCCACCGCCGAGAGCCAUCAGCGCAGCCGUGACCCCGCCAAGCCCACGCUUCUCCAGCAUCGCCAUGGCACAAUGCUUGGGCUCCCACACCGCUGGCUCUGGGAGCUCUUGGCAGGCGUCAGCGGGAUUUGCAGCGGGCGAGCCCUGGGCCACGGCACGCGCCUGUCCAUGGGACUGUGGGGUCCGGCAGCGGCACGACUGGGUGGGAUCAGGACCUGGGCUCCGGCACCGCCAUCGUUUCUCCUCCGGCAAAGCGCCGGCGGGCCGGGUGGCCUGGCUGCGGUGUGGCCUUGUGCCGGCUCCGUGGCCUCUUUCCCUCAGCAGCGGGGAGCUUUGCUUCCUGGCAGAUUACAGUUUAUUUGCUUU